UAGUGAAAGGUUGGAAAGUUAAUACGCUGGGCUUAGACGCUAACAAUAUACCCCGGGAUGGGGGGUGGAGUAGCAAAGAAAACGAAAUUCAACCAUUUAGGCGGUGGUUCGUUUGAACUUUGAAUCCUUAAACCCUAAUUCAAGCCUCCUGGAACCCUAAUCCGGACUCCCAAGAUAUAAGGCUCCUUAUAAAUAUCAUCGAAUAAGCCCUUUGUUUUCGUGAGCAGCGACAGAAGACGGCGAAGAGAGGUCAGUCGGCGAGCCUAUGCUUAGUUUUUGUUGUUGCAAUUUGGGUUUGCGUGUAGAAAUAAUGAGGUGUUGCUUUCGGUCUUUUAUUUGAUAGAAAAUGUAUUUCUCGGAAAUCCUCAACGUGUAUCCUUUAAAUCUGCACAUUAGAUUUUGUUAUAUCUAUCAUCUCCUGCUGUUAUGAUAUAUCACAGUUUUUAUUAGCCCUUCCCCCCCGAAUCCUUCCUAUUGACUUGGUUUUGACAGAUGUUCUGAGACAUCUAGUGAUGAGUGAGGUGGUAAUAUGAAAUUUGAUAAUCCUUCGAUCUAGAAGCAUCUUAUGGCUGCUUUUCCCGAAAAAGCUCAUUUAAAUCGAUGAUGAACUUGUGGUGACCUGGUCUUCUGUUUGGUUUGGACGUGUCUGCUAUACGCUUGCAGUGCUUAUGUAGAGGCUCAGCCAUUACCAAAUCAAUUGAGAAGGCCGGGGAUUGUAAUUGCAGCGAAUGUCAUCAAGUUGGAGCUAAUAUGAUUUCUGAUUUAGUUGAAUGAUUUCACUUGCGUAUAAAACUUUUAAAAGUGAGUCAUAAAUGUUCUUACCCAUAUAGUGAUUAGUUUAAUCAGGGAAUAACGUUUAAGCUAGACAUGACUUGGCUUAACUGUAGUAAUUCCUUGUUCAAAAAAAACCUUGCCUGCAGAGCCAGAGAGAAUGGACGAAGCACAUGUCAUGGUAUUAUUUGCAUCACAAUCAAAUAAAAUUGAUUUCUUUGUAGAAAA
Prosopis cineraria is the source of this 999-nucleotide long non-coding RNA. RefSeq lists it as uncharacterized. Lineage: Eukaryota; Viridiplantae; Streptophyta; Magnoliopsida; Fabales; Fabaceae. The record is from RefSeq and is a predicted model, not a curated record. The transcript is spliced from 2 exons.